AAUAGAUACCCUGGUAGUCCAUGCCGUAAACGUUGGGCGCUAGGUGUGGGGACCUUCCACGGUCUCCGUGCCGCAGCUAACGCAUUAAGCGCCCCGCCUGGGGAGUACGGCCGCAAGGCUAAAACUCAAAGGAAUUGACGGGGGCCCGCACAAGCGGCGGAGCAUGCUGAUUAAUUCGAUGCAACGCGAAGAACCUUACCUGGGUUUGACAUAUACCGGAAGGCUGCAGAGAUGCAGCCCCCCUUGUGGUCGGUAUACAGGUGGUGCAUGGCUGUCAUCAGCUCGUGUCGUGAGAUGUUGGGUUAAGUCCCGCAACGAGCGCAACCCUCGUCCUAUGUUGCCAGCACGUAAUGGUGGGGACUCAUAGGAGACUGCCGGGGUCAACUCGGAGGAAGGUGGGGAUGACGUCAAGUCUUCAUGCCCCUUAUGUCCAGGGCUUCAAGCAUGCUACAAUGGCCGGUACAAAGGGCUGCGAAACCGCAAGGUGGAGCGAAUCCCAAAAAGCCGGUCUCAGUUCGGAUUGGGGU
RNAcentral lists this ribosomal RNA (527 nucleotides) under uncultured bacterium. Its description in RNAcentral is "bacterial SSU rRNA". It matches the Rfam family "Bacterial small subunit ribosomal RNA", at positions 777 to 1304 of the family's 1533-position model. The record is from RNAcentral.